Molecule: ribosomal RNA, 483 nt
Filed under: uncultured bacterium
Lineage: Bacteria
Description: partial 16S ribosomal RNA
Rfam family: Bacterial small subunit ribosomal RNA
Source: RNAcentral
UUGAACGCUGGCGGCAGGCCUAACACAUGCAAGUCGAGCGGAUGAAGGGAGCUUGCUCCUGGAUUCAGCGGCGGACGGGUGAGUAAUGACUAGGAAUCUGCCUGGUAGUGGGGGAUAACGUCCGGAAACGGGCGCUAAUACCGCAUACGUCCUGAGGGAGAAAGUGGGGGAUCUUCGGACCUCACGCUAUCAGAUGAGCCUAGGUCGGAUUAGCUAGUUGGUGGGGUAAAGGCCUACCAAGGCGACGAUCCGUAACUGGUCUGAGAGGAUGAUCAGUCACACUGGAACUGAGACACGGUCCAGACUCCUACGGGAGGCAGCAGUGGGGAAUAUUGGACAAUGGGCGAAAGCCUGAUCCAGCCAUGCCGCGUGUGUGAAGAAGGUCUUCGGAUUGUAAAGCACUUUAAGUUGGGAGGAAGGGCAGUAAGUUAAUACCUUGCUGUUUUGACGUUACCAACAGAAUAAGCACCGGCUAACUUCGUG